GACGGAGGAUGCAAGCGUUAUCCGGAAUUAUUGGGCGUAAAGGGUGCGUAGGUGGUCAGACAAGUCCCAUGUCAAAGCAUGGUGCUUAACGCCAUAAAGGCGUGGGAAACUGUGUGACUAGAGUACAGCAGGGGCAGGAGGAAUUCCCGGUGUAGCGGUGAAAUGCGUAGAUAGCAGGAAGAACACCAGUGGCGCAAGCGUUCUGCUGGGCUGUAACUGACACUGAGGCACGAAAGCUAGGUGAGCGAAAGGG
Molecule: ribosomal RNA, 253 nt
Filed under: uncultured bacterium
Lineage: Bacteria
Description: partial 16S ribosomal RNA
Rfam family: Bacterial small subunit ribosomal RNA
Source: RNAcentral